AACAGGCUGCUUUUUUUGUCUGUCUUUGCGUUGCCAUUAUUCUUCAACCAGUAUAGAAUCCUGGAGGAGACAGACUUCCGGAAUGGCUGAACAAGAACGUUCAUGAACUCACCUUCCCAUAAAAAUAAUUAAAAUACCGGCAAAACAACUAAGGUAACCAUUUCAAAACUCUGAAAAUUAACCAAAGCCACAGAACAAACUGAGAAUUACCUAAAAGAAACUACUGAACCUCGGAUACCAAAAUCACACGUGACAAAGAAAAACAGAUGAAUUGGAAUAUAUCAAAAUGAAGAACUUUUUGUAAUGCAAAUGAUCCAGUCAAGAAAGGACUUUGACAGAGGAUUCUGAUGUGACUAAAGCCCGCUUCCGAUGAGCCACUUUGUAUUUCGGCAUCUUGUUAAACAGAGUUGUUGA
Neofelis nebulosa (Clouded leopard) is the source of this 414-nucleotide long non-coding RNA. RefSeq lists it as uncharacterized. The transcript is spliced from 3 exons. Lineage: Eukaryota; Metazoa; Chordata; Mammalia; Carnivora; Felidae. The record is from RefSeq and is a predicted model, not a curated record.